This 643-nucleotide ribosomal RNA is filed under the name uncultured Actinomycetes bacterium. RNAcentral describes it as "bacterial SSU rRNA". It matches the Rfam family "Bacterial small subunit ribosomal RNA", at positions 232 to 885 of the family's 1533-position model. Lineage: Bacteria; Bacillati; Actinomycetota; Actinomycetes. The record is from RNAcentral.
CGCGGCCUAUCAGCUUGUUGGUGAGGUAAUGGCUCACCAAGGCGUCGACGGGUAGCCGGCCUGAGAGGGUGACCGGCCACACUGGGACUGAGACACGGCCCAGACUCCUACGGGAGGCAGCAGUGGGGAAUAUUGCACAAUGGGCGGAAGCCUGAUGCAGCAACGCCGCGUGAGGGACGACGGCCUUCGGGUUGUAAACCUCUUUUAGCAGGGAAGAAGCGAAAGUGACGGUACCUGCAGAAAAAGCGCCGGCUAACUACGUGCCAGCAGCCGCGGUAAUACGUAGGGCGCAAGCGUUAUCCGGAAUUAUUGGGCGUAAAGAGCUCGUAGGCGGUCUGUCGCGUCUGCUGUGAAAACCCGAGGCUCAACCUCGGGCCUGCAGUGGGUACGGGCAGACUAGAGUGCGGUAGGGGAGAUUGGAAUUCCUGGUGUAGCGGUGGAAUGCGCAGAUAUCAGGAGGAACACCGAUGGCGAAGGCAGAUCUCUGGGCCGUAACUGACGCUGAGGAGCGAAAGGGUGGGGAGCAAACAGGCUUAGAUACCCUGGUAGUCCACCCCGUAAACGUUGGGAACUAGUUGUGGGGUCCUUUCCACGGAUUCCGUGACGCAGCUAACGCAUUAAGUUCCCCGCCUGGGGAGUACGG